Molecule: long non-coding RNA, 1284 nt
Filed under: Homo sapiens (human)
Lineage: Eukaryota; Metazoa; Chordata; Mammalia; Primates; Hominidae
Description: THBS3 antisense RNA 1
Source: RNAcentral
GGCGUCGGAAAGCGGCCUUCUGGGACUCCGCAAACUCCCGUUCUCCCUCCCCCCUCCCCCUUGCCAUUCCCUUUGCCUUCCGGGCGCCAAGUCUCUCUGGCCUCCAAGGUGAACCCAACUCCCCAGCGCGCCCCGGGUUCCCGGGUCGGGCCGGCUUCAGGCGGUGGGGAGCGGGAUCCCGGGCCCCGGGCGGGCGGGAGGGACGGGACGCGGUGCAGUGUUGUUUUUUCCCCCGCCAAUAUUGCACUCGUCCCGGCCUCCGGCCCCCCCGGCCCCCCGGCCUCCCCGCUACCCCUAGCGGGGCAGCCCCCGCCCUCCUGGCUCUCCAUCCCGGCGGAUCUUUGAUAGACUGGAGUGUCGCCGCUGCCACCACGGGAAAAUGGGUCAUGGAGGAGUGACUUCACCAACAUCACUCAUAGGUGCUUGUGUCCGUGGUGAGAAGGGUGAUGGAGAGAAGUGGCUGCAGUUCCCACCCAUGGAGAGGUCACUGGUGAAUCCCAGCUAAAGAGGAAGGACAGGCCCGGCCUGAGUCCCACAGGAUUCCUCCAUUUGGAAGUGAUUGAACUGCAUAUCCCUUACAUACCAACUGCCAAGCCAGGGUCACUGUUCAUGGUCUGAACGAUUUCCAUGCCCUGGGGUUGUAUAGUAAAGAAAAAGCUGUGAUGCAGGCUUACCAUCUGAGUCCUUCUGAUUGGGAUUGGGUACCAGGCGGCAGUUAUCGGGACCAGGAGGCACAUAAUCUGGGAUGCCAUCAUUGUCAUCAUCCCCAUCACACUCAUCUCCAAGUCCAUCGUUAUCAGAGUCCAGCUGGGAGCUAUUUGGCAGCUGUGGGCAGUUGUCCUUGGUGUCCUGAUGCCCAUCCCCAUCGCUAAUCAGAAGAACAGGUUGGUGAAAGUCCCGAACUUUGUCUCCCCACCCAGAGGACAACUGGCCAGGAAAUCUGCCUGUUUCUUGUCUCACCCUCUAGUCCACACUCUGCCUAACACUACGCCCUACCUCACAUUCCUAUUGACAUCUGCUGCAGGUAAUCUCUCCUCACCCAGGCCAACGUCCACAAGCCUGCCUCCCUAUUUCACAGAGACUUCCUAGCUUCCCUGCUUCAUCCCCACCUGAUCCAAAUUCUCACAGGUCCCCCAGCCACCCCUUCAGCCCCAGGCCUGCACCAUCCCCAUCCACGUCGUUGUCACAGGCAUCUCCUUCCCCAUUGCCAUCUGUGUCCUUCUGGUCAUUGUUGGGAACGUUGGGGCAAUUGUCACAGGCAUCACCAAAUGAAUCUGUAUCUGA